UAACAAGAUUCGUAACGGCCAUACA
Molecule: non-coding RNA, 25 nt
Filed under: Drosophila melanogaster (fruit fly)
Lineage: Eukaryota; Metazoa; Arthropoda; Insecta; Diptera; Drosophilidae
Source: RNAcentral